UACGUAGGGUGCGAGCGUUGUCCGGAAUUACUGGGCGUAAAGCGUGCGCAGGCGGUUGUGCAAGACAGAUGUGAAAUCCCCGGGCUCAACCUGGGAACUGCAUUUGUGACUGCACGGCUGGAGUGCGGCAGAGGGGGAUGGAAUUCCGCGUGUAGCAGUGAAAUGCGCAGAUAUCAGGAAGAACACCCGUGGCGAAGGCGGCUCUCUGGGACGGUACUGACGCUGAGACGCGAAAGCGUGGGGAGCGAACAGG
This 253-nucleotide ribosomal RNA is filed under the name uncultured bacterium. Its description in RNAcentral is "partial 16S ribosomal RNA". It matches the Rfam family "Bacterial small subunit ribosomal RNA", at positions 524 to 776 of the family's 1533-position model. The record is from RNAcentral.